Molecule: microRNA, 22 nt
Filed under: Drosophila simulans
Lineage: Eukaryota; Metazoa; Arthropoda; Insecta; Diptera; Drosophilidae
Description: dsi-miR-992-3p
Gene: dsi-miR-992-3p
Source: miRBase by way of RNAcentral
CCCUUUUUUGGAACCAAGCCCU